RNAcentral lists this long non-coding RNA (23183 nucleotides) under Populus tremula. RNAcentral describes it as "long non-coding RNA (PTRE_LNC001559)". Lineage: Eukaryota; Viridiplantae; Streptophyta; Magnoliopsida; Malpighiales; Salicaceae. The record is from RNAcentral.
AAUGAGUUCUUCUACACUGAAUUGCCUAAAAGCAUGUCUAGCGUGGCCUCGAAUCUUUAUAGUGUUGGACUGUCUGCUGCAAGCUUGGUGGCCAGUUUUAUAGUAGGUAAUGUUCGUGGGUUUAUUAGUGAAGCAAAUCAAGAGAGUUGGGUUUCAAGCAACAUCAACAAAGGACAUUAUGAUUAUUAUUACUGGCUGCUUUCUAGUUUGGGUGUUGCUAACUUCAUUUAUUAUCUUGCUUGUAGCAAGGCUUAUGGUCCUUGUAAGGGGGGACAAAAGGGCAUUACUGGAGAUGUUAGGGAAGGAUUGAUUGAUGAUGAUGAUGAUGAUGUAGUUUAAGUUAACGUUCAGGAUCUUUGUAUGUUCGUUAGAAAUUUUCACUUCUCAUUAUUUGCUGGUAUGUGAACUCCAAUGUGAUGUAUUUUCUUUGUAAACAAAAAAGAAUAUAUUAUAUAUAUGCAGCCAAUCUAAUGUGUUCCUGUAACAAAAUUUAUACAUAUAUAGAAAAUGUGGUCCAAAUCUAGCUAGGGACAAAUAGGGAUUGAGGUGCUAUGGAGGACUCACGGCGUAUUGGUGACGGUGCACUCUUGUGCAAGUGGUUAUUGGCUUUUUCAUGACAUUGAAACAAUUAAUUAAUGAACAAUAAGCUGUAUUUCUAGUGAUAUUAUAUUAUAGAAUGUAUAGCAUGUAAAUAUCUAAAUAGAAAAUUAUACUAGGAUAUUCCAAUGUUAUAAUUCCUAUAUUUACCAUGGUGUUCUAUCACAUAUAUAUAAAUAUAAAGGUUGGCUAAGGUACAAGCUAAAACAUUCUAUUAUAUCAUAGCCCUAAAUUAACUAAAACACUUUCAUCACAGCUCUCUUUGCACAAUGAAACAGCUGCCUAUUACUUCUUCUUCUACACCGGCGGUGCAAGCUCCCUCUCUUGCUGCAGCACCCCUGUUUUCCUCUGCCGCAGCACCCCUGUCUUCCUCUACUUCUGUUCUACCGUGGCCACAACCUACUGCUGGUCGUCACGCUCUCUUCAACCCCCACAAUACUCCCUUAUUGCAGUGAUUAGUACUUAAAAGUGUAUUUUUAUCAUAAUAUUACACUUAAAGUAUCAUUAAAUUCCCUAACUGAAGCAUAUUUUAUAAUAACAAAUCUGACAACAUAAGAUAUUUUUAAUUUAUGGUAAAUACUUAUUUUGAAUGCAGGCAUAUCUCACAAUUUAAAGGAUUGAUUGAUGUGUUUAACUAUUGAAAGAUAAAAGACAAAGAGAGGGCUAAGCUAAAAGAAGAUAUGCUGGUUUAAUUCAAACUAGAACAACAUUCAAUUAUUGGAUCAUAACUGGAGUUGUAGAACAUGGAUUUAGGCCUGGUUUAUAUGGAUGGAAAGCUAAGACAGUGGCCUAAAAAUUUCAUAAGAUUUCAAGAUUCAAAACGGUCGUUUUCAAGUUCAAAUUGUAGCAACAAAAGAGACGUGAAAUUUAUCUUGCAGCCUAGACACUUUUCAGUGUUCAGCCCAUAUCUCGAGUUCUAGACGUCCAAAUGAGCUGAUUCUUGUUUUGUUGGAAAACUGAGAAAAAUAAAGAAGAAGAGAGAAAGAGAAGAAGAAAAAAAAAUAGAGCAAAAAAUAGGGGAGAAGAAGAACCACCACCCCUGCCGUCGCCGCCUCUCCAGGUAAACACUUUGCCCCCUUUUCUUUUACUUUCGUUUCUUCCCUCACCAUGCAGGACGUGCACGGUGCACGUCUAUGUAGGUGAGCUAAAGCUGGUUACUAUGCUUGUUGUUACUCAAUUUUGAACCCCACGUGCUGGAGACAGUGUAUACCUCUUUUGAAGAGAAUGUAGGAGGUUAGCUCAUAUUCGCCAGAAGAUUGACAAAAGCACAGAAAAAAAUAUUGUUGUUUUUUUCAAAACCUUGUUUGAGCUGUUUCUGCUCUUUUUAGCCUUCCCCUUUACUACCAAAAUCAUCAGGUUUUCUUAGGUUGAUCAGGAUUCAUCAUAAUGCUAAAUUUGUUCCUUUUUAUUUGGUCUUUAAGGUUGAAUAAAUCCCUCAGAAUUUGCACUAAAAAAAAAUAGUUCUGCUGCUGUCGCAAUUUUUUGUUCCAACUUAGGCUCUGAUUCUGACUUAGUUUUGUACCAUACCUAACCAUCCUAGGUAUAUUCUGUCACUCAUUACAUAUUGAAAAAUUGACGUACACCUUUAAUAGGUUCUAGGGAUCAUUGUUCUUAGAGCAGAUUCUCAGUCAUAUUUGGAUGCUCAACAUUGUCGGAUUAAGAACCUUUUUGACUAACUAGGUUACUGCCAGAUUCUGUCCCUAAAACGAUUUUAUCUCACUUCGACUCCUUCAUUAAAGAUGUAGUCUUGGACGCGCAGAUAAAUUUGGGCUUUUGAAUUGCUUGAUUUCAAUAUCAGAAGCUCAAGAUAUUCCCGUUUGAAUAUCUAACGUGAAGGCAGAGAAUUCUGCCGCGAGAAGGAUAUUGACCUGAGUCUGCACUAAAAAACUCUAUUUUUGGCCUAGUUUUUGUGAUUUUUGUUCUUUGUUUACACUCUCAGUCAUAUCAGGAUUCUCGGCAUUCGUCAGUUUUUGAGUUAGACUCGGAGAUCCCUUUUGACCAACCAAAUCACUGCUAGAUUCUGUUCUGUAAAAAGAUUUUAUCUCACUUCAAUUGCUCAUCAAAGUUUCAUUCCUAGACGCGUAGAUGAUUUUGGGCUUUUGAAUCACUUGAUUUCAAUAUCAGAAGCUCAAGAUAUUCCCAUUUGAAUAUCUAACGUGAGGGCAGAAAAUUCUGCCGCGGGAAGGAUAUAACCCAAGUUUGCGGGACUGAUUCGAAGGAUUUUUUUUGGACCAAGGACUGAAUCGAAAAGUGUUAAAAUGAGGGAUUGAAUUGAAGAAGGAUAUUGAAAGCUGGAGAGGGGAGUUAGAUCAUCAUAAAUGACGGGAUUUCUACCACACCGAAUGAGGAAAAUCACGUUUUUGUGCAGCCAUAAUUCAUAGGAAACAAUAGCCUUUGACAGCCGCAAAAUGCCAUAAAGAGAAUAACCUCACCAUCAUCUACUGGCUGGGAUUUUAUCUCUAACAUAGAUGGCUGGGAUGAUGUGUUAAUGUUGGAAAGAAAUCACUAGAAUCAGCACAUAAUCAAUGAGAAUAUUGUAGUUUCCUCAUUUGUAUUAUUUGACUGCAAAUCAGCUGGGAUUUGCAUCCUAGAUUAAUGCAUUGAAUCUUUCCUAAUAAGAGCUGUGUAUAGACUAUAUAUACUAUGCCUCUGCUGACCUAAAGAAAAGGAGGAAGACGGCAGCAAAAAGAGAGCAAAAAAUAGCAGAAAGAGAGAGCAUCAAAAGAAGAGAAAAAACGGAGAGAAAAGGGCAGAAAAAAACAGCCACAGACAGGAGAAAAACGCAGAGAAUAGAGAAAGUUUCUUUCAUUCUCCAGUAACGUUACUGUGACGUUGGAAAGAUUGAUAGUAGAAGAGAAUAAAAAAGAAGGAGAAAAAGAGAGGCAAGCAGCAGAAAAAAAACAAGAAAGAGCAAGAGAACACAGACACCACCAGCACAUCACAACUUCAACGUCAUUGUUUUCGUCCGUCAGGAGGCACGCGUGAGCUGUUUCUUGGUCUUUUGUUUCAUUUCCUGCAAAAAAAGGAUCUGCAGGUGUUUCUUCCCUAGUGCUCCAGCUGCGAGAACUUUAGGGACCCUAACGUUCUUUUCUCUUCUAACGCCUGCUGGAGGAAAGGUUAGCCGGCCAUGACUUUGUCUUUUUGUUUGUAAUAAAGCAUGCUUAUCCCAGUUUCUGUUUUGUUUCUCUGUUGGCGUUGUGAAACGAAUAAGGCAGUUUUGUUUUUAAGGUGAGGAAAUAAUGGGUUUGUGAGGCACGGACAUAGGGGUUGAUCUCAAAAUGUCAGUUUCAGAACUUUGGCUCCCUCUUGCAUAUGGGUUUAAUUAAUCCUUUCCAGUUACAGAAUUUUAAGUUGAUUUUGGCUUUGAACGAUUUUUGUUACGAAUUGUUUCAAGCUUCUUGUAAUUCUUAGAAUAUGAAUGAUGGCUUGCUACUUUCCAUUUUGGUGUUUACGUCUAAAUUGUGAUGUUUUGUGUUUUUUUUUUAAAAUAUAAAAAUGCUUUCUUGUGUGUUGUAUACGGCCAAUACCCUAAUAUAUUUUUGAACGCUUUUUUAUAUACAAAAAAUAUUGGAAGUUUUAAAAAUAUGUUUUUGCAUUGAUUUCUUAAACAUCAAAAAAUUUGUUUUCUUGCAUUUCUGGAUUUUACAACAUGUUUGAAAACUCCGAAGGGUAUUGGUAACAAAAUUUCAAAAACUAUAAAAAUCUUAUUUUGGGGGGAAAUUCAUCUAUUAUUCACCGCUAAUGUUUGGAUAAAGAAAUCCUUAAAGGACAAAUAUCCAAAAUAUUAUUGGGAGUAAUAAAUCCGCACACAUCCUUGGAAGAAGCCUUGAUUAUAAUCGAUGAUAUUUCAAAAUUUCAAAUUUUGACACCACGGUUUACGAGUCGUGAAAGUAUGAAAUACUAAGGCAAAAAGAGGCUUUUAAAGCGCUCUGAAUUUCCUUAGAUUUCUAAAUCUUUGUCCUUCCUUCUUGCGAUUUACGAGUCGCAAACUUUUGAAAUACUAAGGGAAAGAUGAACUUUUACAGCUCAUGGAAUCUCCUUGGAUUUCUAUCUUAAUAAAUUUGGUUUGAAUCAAACACAGAUUUCAAGAGAUCUGCAUUGGUUCUCCUUGGUACUUUAUAGACAUAUCUAAGGGUGUGAUCCACAUUGACCAAGGGUUCUUUUUUUUUAGACUUUGAGUCCAAGUUUGUUCAUCAUAGCAAACCUAUCAUAGGAAAACUGAUGGGAUUAGAAAACACCAACACCAUAGCAAUUAUAAGACAAACCAAACACCAAGCAGCUUACCUUAGGUAGGGUGUAUUAGGGGUGCUAAUACCUUCCCUUUACGCAACCAGUCCCUUGCCUUAGAAUCUCUGAAAGACCAUUUAGGGUUCCUAGUGACUAAAAUACUAGGUGACGACUCCAAAGAACCAAUCAAGCAAAACAAACGAAAAAAUCGCUAUUGAAUUGCCGCGUGGGGGACGUACGACAAUGCUCAUGCACAAUAACCAGCUAUGGUGGGCUGGGCUUGGGUCGAGCCCAUGGAUCUUGGGCCUGGUUCGGCCCAGCCCAUGCAAUUGGGCAUGGUUCGGCCCAUUAAAAAAAAAGAGUAAAGAAAAAAGUAUAGUUUUAAUAUUUAUGAUUUUCCCACCUUUUGAUUUUUACCUUGUUUGCUUAAUAUCGGUAUGUAUUUUAUGUUGUUAAAAAUACAAAAUCCAGUAUUAAAAUACCCAGUUUUUGUCAAAACUUCCAAAAAUUCAAAAGAAUUUGAAAUAAGAGAGAAAAAUAUUUUUGUGCAUACGGCCAAGUGUCUCAAAGCUAAAAAAAUCAUAUUGUAUUUUUCAUACACCAAAAAACAAUGUUUUAGCAUGCAUUUUGGCUUUAAUAACUAGUUUAUUAAAGUCAAGAGAAAAUUGGCCAAAAUUUCAAAAAUAAUAAAAAUUUUAUUUUGUUUUGUUUUAGUAUCAUGGAUUACGAAUUUAUACAUAAAACACAUUCCUGAUAUUAAAAAGGUAUUUCUUGUUGACAACAUAAAACAGUUAGGUUUUACCCCAUUAAAAUAAGAACCUUUUUAUAGAGGAGGGCUUUUCUUAAAUGUUCGACAUACAAGACCAACAACUAGAAACCACAAUAAGAUCUUAGACAUUAAAACAAUGUAGCCUACCUUAGGUAGGGCGUAGUUAGGGUGCUAAUACCUUCCUUUUACACAACCAGUCUCCAUACCCCAUCUCUAAGACUAGUUAGGGUUCCUAGUGACCAAAAUACCAAGUGGCGACUCCCAUUCAAAUUUUUCACUGAUAGGAGACAAGAAUUCCUUGUCUCUCCAUAUUUGUACAAGAUAAACCAUUACAUUCCAUUUUUCCUUGAGUGAAUGAUUUGAAACAGAGGGGACAAUAUAAAGAGAAGGAAACAAAGGAGGUGAAAAAUAGGGGGAGACUAAGGAAAGAGUUGAUGGGGGGUGGUUGUUUAAGAAUAGAGGAUGAAGGAAGAGAGAGAAAUGGAGAAAAAGAGGAGAGAAAGAAGAACUAAACUAAAGCACAUAAAAUAGAGAAAGAAAAGGAAAGGAAAGGAGAAGGGAGGAAACAAAAAGAAGGAAGGAACAGGAAGGAAAAAAAGGGGCACCACUGCUUACCUUCCUUUUCACCGCCAUAAGAAUUGCCUUGAGCCACCAUCGACAACAACAACACCACCAUCAGAAACAGAAGAAGGAACAAAGAAGCGAGGGAAUUGAAACAAAAAGAAGAAGCAACACAGAAACAUAAAAAAGGGAGGAGGAACUGCUGCCUGGAACCGCUGCCUACUGCCACAACACCGCCACCAUGAACAACAACACCUCACCGCGAGGUCAGUCCCUCUUCUUCUUCUUCUUCCCUUUCUUUUUAUGCUUCCCCUUUUCCACGCUCCACUGUUUACAUAGCAUGUGAACAAUUUGGCUUAAUAUUGGUGUUGCACCCGACGUCGCAGCGACCCUCUCCAGGAGCGGGAAUUGAUUUCGGGUUUUUUUUUGUUUUAUGAAUAAAGAAGUUGCCACCUAGUAUUAUGGUCACCAGGAAACCUAACUAGUCUUUUAAAGAUUCUAAGACAAGGGACUGGUUGUGUAAAGGGAAUGUUUUAGCACCCCUAGUAUGCCUUACCUAAGGUAAGUUGCUUGGUGUUUUGUUUGCUUUAUAAUUGCUAUGGUGUUGGUGUUCUCUAAUCCCAUAAGUUUUCCAAGGAUAAAUUUGCUACGAUGAACAAACUUGAGUUCAAAGUCUAAGAAAGAAUCAUUGGCCAAUGUGGAUCAUACCUUAGGUAUGUCUACAAAGUACCAAGGAAAACCAAUGCAGAUCUCUUGAAAUCUGUGUUUGAUUCAAACUAAAUUUGCAACUCAUGGAUUAGGAAACAACUAAGAUAGAAAUCCAAGGAGAUUCAAUGUGCUUAAAAGUUCAUUUUUCCUUAGUAUUUCAAGUGUCUGUGACUCGAAAAUCGCAAAGAAACAACAACAACAACAACAACAAUAAUAAUAAACUAAGUUAGAAACGUAAGGAAAUUUAAGGUCCUUUAAAAGCCCAUUUUUUACUUAAUAUUUCAUACUUUCAUGACUUAUGAACCGUGGAACAAAAAUUGAAAUGUUCCCAAUUAUAAUUGAGGCUUCUUUUAAGGAUGUGCAAUUAAAUUGUUCUAAAUAAGAUUUUGGGCAUAAAUCUACCCUUAUGAUAAAAAUGAACAAGUUGUAUUACUGAUGCGAACCUCGUGAUCACGUGGUCACGCAACUCACAAUCAAGAUUGAGAUCUAAUCCCGAAAAGCCAAAUAAAUCAGGUUUGAUAGGAGUGUGACACAAAGAUAACUUGUACCUAGGCACCAACACUAUUGAAAACGUAAACCCCCAACCCAAUGAAUAUUGAUUCGCGAACAAGAAGUAUAAGGAUGAUGCCGCGAAGACAGUUGUUCCUCGAUAAGUUGUUUUUCAGUUCUUUAGAGAACCAUGGAAGGGAGAUUAUCUCACCAACACAAAGUGCGGCAAACAAGAAGUUUUAUUAAUUUGAAUUGUCUUCUUUGCAUGUCUGGUUAUGCCCUUAUUUAUAGUGACUCCAAACUAAAAUAAACCAUAAUGGACCCCUUAUGUGGACUUAUAUGAUGCCCACUUACAAUUAUACCCAAAUAAUAUAAAUAAACCCUAAACUAAGAAGAAAAUAACAAUAAAAUUAAUAAAUCCAAAUUUAAAAUCCUAAAUAUGAUAGAAUCAUAUUUGUUACCCUUUAGAAGUCCCAUAUAAGAUAGGAGAAUCAAAUCUGAUGGUGGAAUUAGUUCUGAAAUCUUCUUUCCUUUUUGUAGUUAGGAUGAAUAAGGAAUCGUUGUAAGAAAAAGAUUCUGAAACAUUUAUCAAUCCUUGCCACACUUGGAAACUAUGUUGCAGCCCAUUAAAGAUCUUUGUAGAAUUAAGAGAUUCCCAAAAUAAGCUGCCACAUCCUUUUAGGAAAAGAAUCUUAGCCAAAUAGGAAGUCCACAAGUCAAAAGGAAGUAAAUAACAAAACCCAUACAACCUCUGUUGAUCCGUGUUUGGAUGCCUUGCCGAACUCUGAUUGACAUGAUAUUUUAACCAUAUGUAGGAAAACAUGUCAGGAGACUCCACGUAAACUUUCAAUCCGAUCCAAUGGUAGGAUUGAGAAUUAUAACUCUUGGUGUAAAACUGGAUAGUUGCACAUUUUACGUCAAAAUCCGAAUUUGACCUUGCAUGGAUCGUAAAAAUGAACAAGUUGAAUUACUCUCAACAAUAUCUUGGACAUUUACCUUUCAUAGGUUUCUUUGUCCUUAUAUUAUUAAGGGAUAAUGAUGUAUUAUUCCUAAAAACAUAUUUUGGGUAUUAACCACUUAGUGUUUCUUUAUCCAAAUAUUAACAGUGAAUAAUAACAGGUUAUUCCUAAUAAUAUGUAAGGGUAGUGGUCGUAUGCAGUAUAUAAGAAAAACAUAUAUAUAUAUUUUUAAAAGAACAAGUAUCACAGUUAAUUGCAAUUAAAUACAACAAACCAUGUAUAUAUAUUCUCAAAAUUUGCAAGGAGAAAAAACAAAUUACACACACACAUCCAUUUUUACUAUGCUCCACUCACACAUCAUUUUUACAUGAUACAACACAGAAAUUGCAAAAUAGACCCCAAAUAUUCAGGAAUUGCAGAGGAAUACUUUUGGGAAUGUAAGAACAAUGGCGACGCAUCUGCUCUAUGCACCGCUGCCACUAGCGGUGCAUGGGUUCACGCGCCACCGCAGGAAAAAACAGGGGAUAUGUGAAGUAUGAGACCAACGCACCACCACUGUUCCUGCAACUUGGAAGCUUCCCAGCAUUGUUCCUAAAUUUCUAGCAAUUUCUCCAGAUUAAUUUGUGAAUUUUAGGAGGCCUAUUUUGUAAAUUAUAAAUGUCUAUUGUGUGUGUGUUUGAACUGUAUUGAAUUUUGGUGAUAUGUAAAAAAUGUAAUUGUAGCUUGUGUUAGUAAAAUAUAAUAAAACAAAUGUGUGUGUGUGUGUGUUUGUAUGUUCUUACAUUUUUUUGAAUAUUUAAAACCAAAAGGAUAAAAAAAAUAGAGAUUAUGAAUGCUACCUGGAUUGCCCAUCUCUACUUUAAAGAGGUGGCUCAUUUAAAUGAGAUUCCUAUGUGCAUUACAUUUUAAUUGAAAGUAUUUUCACCACAACACACGAGUUGUGAAAAUUUCUUCUGCCUUUCAAGAUAGGUGAACCCUGUCAACGUACCUAUAUGAACCUUUUCCAUAAGAAUUUAUUUGGACACACGAGCCCAUAAUAAAUUCAAAACGUUAGAUUUAUUCACAUGAAUAAAUCUUCAUCAGAUGACAAACAAAUUGUUGGUUAGAAACUCAUCAAAACCCUUAAAACAUAUUCAGAUCAUACAAUGCAGCUUACAUCGAGUAUGGUGUGCUAAGGGUGUUACCUCAGGUAAGGUGUACUGGGGGUGUUGUUGCGAUGUUGCGGUCACACAAAUUAAUUACCCUAACUUAAAACACAACAUACAAGAUAGUAUAGAUCAAGCAAGGGGUUGAUCCCACGAGGAAGGUUCAAGUCAGAUUUUUAUGCUAUACAUUAUGCAAUUGAGAGGUUUGGUUUGUGAUUAUCUAGACUAUGACAGAAUCAAACAAUCAAUCAAAAAUUAAAUAAAACUAAAAUUUAUCAAGAAAACAAACAUUGGUCGCAAAUAAACAUUCACCUAUAGAAAUCAGAAUUGAUCAUAGAAACGAGACGUCAAUUUAUAUUCUGAAUAUCUAUAUUUUUUUAUGUUGAUUAGUUAACUGAUUCGUUGUAUAACUAAUCCUAACCAUCAAAUAAUCAUAAUUUAUGCACUACUAAUUUAAUUCAAUGGUAGCCUUAAGAACUAGAUGGGUUGAUUAAUCUAGACAACAUAAUUGUUCGCAGUCCAUAUUUGAUUUGAUCAGUCGAAUGUUCUCCCUAAUAUUACUAAUCUAGACCUACCACAAUUAUUAAUCUCAGUUGCUUCACAAGUUUAUAUACCACAACUCCGGUUUUGAAAGCAAACUUAGUAAUAGAUUGUUCACAAUAAGAACUUAGAGUCCGCUCUAGCAAUUAAAAUAAACAAUCAUAGGAAAUAAGCAUAGGAGAACAAACAUAUUCAUUCAUCAUAUAAACUGAAAAGUAAAGGUAAAAUAGAUCUCACAGUUCUUGAAAUCCAAAAGUUUUUGUGUCCUUACAGCCAAGAAAAAGGGUUUAGCCUUGCAUGUCUAUUGAACAACUAACCAAAAAAAAGAAGAAGGCAUGAAUUUGGGUUUGUGGGAGAAAGGGUUUGUGUUCCUCUCUUCUAACCAUCCCCCUCUCUCCCUUCUCUCUAUCUUUUUGUAUAAUAGGAAACCCAAGUCUCUAUUUUACAAAAUAGUCCUUCCUUAAGUAGACAAUUUACAUUUAAGUACUUCACUAACUAUUUUUCUAAAAAAGAAGAAAUAACCCUGCAUGAAAUCUUCAAGCUAUGGAUGUCAGUUUGGAUGUUUUGGGAUGUAAUUUGGACUCGUUUCUUCACAAAACCUGUUUGAUGGCAGAGUUUAUCUGUCAUCUUAAAAAAAUCAUAUCCCCAUCAUAUGAGAUCUGUUUUGGAUGAAACUUGGUGUGUUGAUAGGUCUUUCAGUCAGGAAUCGAAAAAAAAUGAUUUUGCAUCAAAUGGACUUCUUUAGCUCAAGAUAUUCAAGUUGGAAUGGCCAAAAGGUCAACACUGGCAGAUUGCGAAAUUUAACUUUGAAGGCUGCGAUUUUCAUGCUCUUUCUUAUUUUAUUUUCUUAACUUAGAUGUCCAGAAAGGUAUGGAUGUUAGCUUUUUAAUGCCAUUAGAAUCACUUCAUUUCAACCUUUAGAGCUCACGCUCUGCACAAAACAUGGACUAAAGGUCAAAUUUUUCAAUUACCUCCAAUUUGCUCCUUUUUACAUAUUUCAUCCAAAAGUGCCUACAAAACAUAAAACAAAUAAUAUCAAGACAUUUUAUAUAAAAAAUAUAGGCAAAACACUAAUUAAAUAUGGUUAAAAUUAUUGAAUAAUAUAGUUAUAUCAGGUGCUAAUAUCUUUAUUAGCUACAACCAAUCUCUUACAUUUAAAUUUUUUUAUAAAACUACUACAUUCAAGUUUCUUAACUAUUAUGAAUCAGAUGAUAAAUCUCUUGAGCAUUCAACACCUCGCGUACAUACAACUAACAAUUAUCCAUAAUACAUGGCGUCCCACAUCAAACACGUUAUUCUAGAAUAUCAGGGGUUGAAUGUGGUACUAGAUUUAUAUAAAAAAAGAAAUUGAACAAUACUACUCCCAUUUAAAAAAUAAAUAAAUAAAACAAACCCAUGAAAAAAGUAAUGGAAAAAGGAUGACAACUCACUUACAGAAAGUUAACUGACCGAGUAGGCUAAAGGUUUUGGAAUUAUAGGGUUUAAGAAAAGAUUAAUGUUCAAAUUAAUGGUCCCCUACAAAGAAACAGUGAGCUCAUUGCUGAGCACCACCAUCACAUUUGUUCAGAGGAAAAACGAGUUUCAUUGUAUCAAACCUAUAAAUUAUCUUUCUCGUUAUUUUAAAGUAUCAUUAAUUUUACUCUUUCAAACAUAAGAACUCAAAAAAAAAUAUUAGAGUCCAGCAUAUUUUGGGCUGUAAGAAAAUAUAAUACAUGAUAUUGCAUUUAAAAAUGUUGCCAGUAUUGUGGGAGACAAUUUAUUAUUCGUAGCUUGAUACUGAUUGAUUUCCCAUAACAACGUUGAUGCAUAGCAUUCAGCUCAUUACUAUCAAUGUCUACAAUUUUAUUUUAUCAAAUCGUUCACAACAAAAAAAACAAAAGCAAAGAAAAUAAUAAUAAUAAUAAUAAUAAGCAAAGAGUACAAUGAAUGCGUACGAAUAGCAAUUUAUGUUUUUUUUUUUUAAUUGUCUUUUCAAAAUGUCAUGUAUUACCUAAAUUCAUAAUUAAUUAAGUAAUUAAAUGCGCUCUUGCAUCGAAAGUUCUCAUUCUUAUUCGUGCUAGCUUGAUUUCUUUUUCAAUUAAUUAUAUAUGCAAGUUGAAGUACAAUAAGCGGGGUGGUUUUCCCUUUCAGUUUUUUAGUGGUGCAGGCGAGACGGUGUGGCAGUGUGUUAAAUAAAAAAGAACGCAGUUCUCUUAGAAACGGAAAAACCACCUGACAUGUGCAAUAUAUAUGCUUGUUGAAGAUCACACAUGAAGUUGAUUGGAUUAACAAGGAUACAUAAUUUAAUCCAAAAACUUGGUCCUAGGUGAGAAUAAUUGGGAGGCUUGACCUAAUGGCUAGCCAACCCUUUCUAUAUAUAUGUGUAGGGCAAUGUACAAUAAUAAUGGUGGAAGUUACCACACACAAAAGUAUGUAGACAAUAUUUCCUAUACAGUAUUUCCUAUAUAAGUGCAUUCUAUAAUUAAUAUGCCCCCUUAAGCCGAGGGUGGAGGAUCAACCCGAAGCUUGAAACGAAAAGUAGUAAAGGAAGAAGUAGGAAGUGGUUAGUGAAGACAUCAUCAAGUUGACCCCGAGAGGAAAUAAAACGAAUUUGAAUUUCCUUCUUGGCAACUCUAUCUCGGACAAAAUGAUAAUCGACCUCAACAUGUUCUGUGCGAGCAUGAAAGACAGGAUUCGCAGACAAAUAGGUGGCAAGAUAACAUACCAGCCCGAGUGAGGAUAUCAAGUGUAUAUUUAUGCUGGCAAAGCAUAAGACCCAUACUAGUAGAUUGAACCUCAAUACCCAAAAAAUAAUGAACAAAACCCAAGUCACGAAGCUUAAAUUCUGAGCUUAGUAGCUGAAUGAGGCGUAGGAGCAGAAGAGAGUUGCUACCUGUAAGAAGAAUAUCAUCAACAUAGACCAGAAGAUAACAAAUAUUAGCACCAACAGAGAAGAUAAACAAUGAGGUAUCCACCUUAGAUGCACGGAAACCAAUACAUAACAUGAAAUCAUUCAGACGAGUGUACCAAGCUCGCGGAGCCUGUUUUAAACCAUAUAGAGAUUUAUGUAAGCGACACACAUGAGAGGGCAGAGCAGAAUCAACAAAACCUGGAGGUUGUUUCAUGUAGACCUCCUCGUCAAGAACACCGUUAAGGAAGACAUUAAGGAUAUCAAGCUGAUGAAUUUUCCAACCACACGAAACGAUAAUGGAGAAGACUAAUUUGACGGUCGCCUGUUUGAUGACAGGACUAAAGGUUUCAGAGUAAUCAAUACCUUCUUGCUGAGUGAAACCCCUAGCAACCAAACGCGUUUUAUACCUCUCGAUGCUACCAUCAGAUUUGCGUUUAAUCUUGUACACCUACCAACUACCAACAACAUUCAUGGAGGGGUGAAACGGUACUAAGGUCCAAGUCCUGUUUGGGCGUAAGGCCUGAAUUUCCUCAUGCAUGGCACUAUGCCAUGCCUCAUAUCUGUUAGCAUCAUUAAAAACAAGUGGCUCAUGAGAGGGAGGAGAAAUUGCCCCGCUGAAAGAGGCAACAGAGCUUGAGGUAGUGGCAGUGGACAACGUUGGCUUAGGUUGUCUUAGACAGAGGACCAUGGGAUGUUGACGAGCUGCUGGACAUGGAGAAGUGUGACCUGUAACUGGAAGGUGAUGAAGAGGAUAUGAAGAGAGGUCUACACAAAGCUGCAGACUAGCUGGAGACGUAGUGGAUGGACUGGUCGAAAUUGUAGAAGAUGGGGAGGCUGCAGCAAAGCUGGGAUGUUCUACAGCAGAACCUGGCUUUGCUGCAAUAGACCAAAGAACAUGUGCAUCUGAUGAUAGAGAACCUGUUCUUGCACAAUUGUUGUAACCCAUUUUCGAGUCCCCACAAAAAUAAAUAAAAUAAAUAGCCAAAGGAGGUUAGAAAAAUAAUAGGAGGCAGAAGCGCUCAGAAAAUGGUCAGAAAAAUCGGUCAAGGAGGUUAAAAAUACAAAGAUGGAUUUUUGACAAUUUAUUAUUGAAUGAUAAGAGCCCUGGUGGAUAAGAAAAUUUGAUUUUUGAGGAGAAAACUCCAAAUUUGGAGGUUUAUGGACUUAAUUGGAUUUUUAAUUGAAUUUAUAGAGGAUUUGAGUGCAAGAAAAAUUGAUUUUUAAGUCAAUUUGGGCUUUAAUUAGAAGAAAUUUAAGUUCUGGGGCCAAAAUAUAUUUUUUAGGAAUUUAUUGGGUCAAAUCAGGGGCUUAAUUGCAUAAAUAUUGAAGUUUAAUGGCCAAUUAGGGACUUAUUUGAGAAAAUCCGAAACCAGAGACCAAUUUGGAAAAGACGCGUAAAUAGGGGGGCUCUUUUGGAUUGAUCCGGGGUCAAAUUGAAGAAAUUGAAAACUGGAGGACUAAUUUAAAAAAACGGCGCAGGGAAACCAGGCGACACGUUGCCCGUUACUGUUCACUUUCUUCCUCAAAAAGGUGCCUGAGUGGCUACUUGCCAGGUGCAUUUUCCAGCUCGUGGCCUCCAAAUCCGACAAAAUGUGCACCAACAUGUCCACAUGAAACCCCUUUAUCCCGGAGAAUCGUCCGGUAGGGUCGAAAAAGUUAGAAACGACUCCUUUGAGUGGCACAAAGUGGCCACCUUGGGUAGUUCACAGCCUUGAGCUGCCAAAUUUGGCAGCUCGAGGUGCACACUUUGAACCAGUGGCUUGGAUGCCUCGGGUCCAAUCAAGGGCUGCAAAUUUUCCCUAAUGUAGACAAUGUUGCCCUCUUGCACUGCCUAUAAAUAGAAUCUCUGUUGAAGACCUGGAGGAGGAAAAAUUCGGGUCAAAAGUCCACCGCUGCAGAUUUUUCGCCCAAUUUCUGCAGAUUUUUCUUCUUCUUUCUUCCUCUGCAACAGGAAACCGACGCCGUCUUCCUCCAACUCCACCGCUGCAACCACCGGCCAAGUGAGCCCCUCUUCCUUUCCUCCUCCUUCCUUUUCCUCUUCCUUUCCUCCUUUUCUUCUUCUUCUUCCUUCUUUUCUUCUUCUUCCUCCUUACCUACUGUUCACUGCAUGAACAGUAGGCGUGAAAUAUAAUUCACGUCCUACUGUUCACGCAGGACGUGAAUUAUAUAUAUAUAUAUAUGUGUGUGUGUGUGUGUGUGUGUGUGUGUGUGUGUUAAUUUUAUAAAAUAAAAAUAAAAAAAUCUUUGCAUAUUAUAUGUAUAAAAUAAGAAAAAAUUUUGAAAAAUCUUUGAAAAAUAUUGUUGAUUUUCUGCAUUUUUGUCAAAAUGGCUUAAUAAUGGUUUUUUUUUUAUACCGUAGAGAUAUAAAUUUAUUAUUAAAAUACCCGGUUUUCGUCAAAACAUCAAAGAUUUUCAAAAUAAAAAAUGUUUUUUUGCUUCCAAAAAAAUUCUAAAAAAUCCUUAAAAAUAUUGUUGAUUUUUCCUGCAUAUUUUAUUAGGGUGGAUUAAUAUUGGUUUGUAUUUUUAUACCGUAAGAAUACAAACCCAGUAUUAAAAUACCCGAUUUUCGUUAAAACAUAAAAAAAAUAUAUAUUUUCCAAAAAAUGUUUUUGUUUUAAAAUACGGCCUAGUCUCUCCAAUAUAUAUAUAUAUAUAAAUAUUAUAACAUCAUAUUUUCACACAACAAAGGAAAUUUUCAAAACAAUAUAUGUAUUAGCAUGCAUUUUGGCUUUAAUAACCAGUUUAUUCAAGCCAUGAGAACUAGGCCAAUAUUUCAAAAAUUCUAAAAAAAAUCUUUUUGUUUUCUUUUAGUAUUUGGGAUUACGAAUUUAUACGUAAAACGUAUUCCUAAAUAUUAUUAAUAAAGUUUUGGUAUAGACGUUAGAACGGUUAGGAUUUUACCCGAUAAGAUAAAGACCUUCUUACCGAGGAGGAUUUUUCUUGAACCAUAGACAGACCAACGACUAGAAGUACAAUAACACCUUAGUUUUUAUCAGACAAUAAAACAAUGCAGCUUACCUUAGGUAAGGCGUAUUUGGGGUGCUAAUACCUUCCCUUUACGUACCCGAUCUCUGAGACCAGUUAGGGUUCCUAGUGACCAAAAUACUAGGUGGCGACUCCCAUUCCAUUUUCCACCAAUAAACGACAAGAAUUUCUUGUCUCCCUAUAUUUUCCAAAUAGAUAUAGAUAGAUUUACAUUGUAGAUUUAAAAUGGAAAAUAACCCAUUGUUAUUUUCGUCGCGACGCCGCACACGUGCGACAACAAUAAUCAUGGGAAAGACAAGCAUAUGGUGACAGUAUGGCAGUAUGGGAUAGGGAUGAAGGGGUGGCAGAAGCUAUGGUUAAAGGGAUGGUCUGGUGGGGUGCGGUAGAGGGCAGAAUUGGAUUAUUUGGAGGAGACAUUUGGGGAGUAGUAGGCGGAAAACAUGGAGGAGGGUUCAAGGAUGGAAGAUAGGUAGGUCGUGUGGGAGCUACGGGUGAGGAUGUUACCUGUUCAGACUUCUCAAAAGGAAAGACAAUUUCAUAAAAACAAACAUGACGGGAGACAUAAAUACGAUUAGAUUCUAAAUCAAGACAACGAUAACCAAGAUGGGAUGAGCUAUAGCCUAAAAACACACAAGGAGAAGACCAGAAAUCUAAUUUAUGAGCAUGAUAUGGACGCAAAAAGCGGAAACAAAGACACCUAAAAGUACAUAGGUAGUUAUAAUCAAGAGUGUGAUGAAACAAACACUCAAACAGAGAUUUAUUUUGGAGAACAAGAGUAGGCAUGAGAUUAAUAAGGUAUACCGAUGAUUCAAAAGCAUAGUUCCAAAAGCGCAAUGGUGCACUACAUUGGCCUAAAAGAGUGAGGCCAGUUUCGAAAAUAUGUCGAUGACGACAUUCAACAGUGUCAUUUUGUUCAUGAGUAUGAGGAAAAAUUAACCGAUGAUGAAUACCAAUGGUUUGAAAAAAUUUAUUUAAUUUAUGAUAUUCACCGACCCUAUCAGUUUUAACAUAUUUAAUUUUAAGGGAAAAAACUGACGCUCAACAAGUGUUUGAAAACGUUGAAAAGUGGAAAAGACAUCAAAUUUCGCAAUAAGUAGAUAAUACAAUAUAUGUUUGGUAUGUGCAUCGACAAAAAUAACAAAAUAACGGAAGCCAUCAGAAGAAAACAUAGGGGCAGGACCCUAAACAUCACUAAAAAUUAAUGCAAGUGUGGCAGAAGUUUUGUGACUCGUAGGUCGUAAUGAUAAACGGGACGACUUUCCUAAAGGACAAGCUUCACACUAAGUAAGAGAACGUAUAAAAGUACAUAUGAUUUUAUUGCCGGAAACUAAGAAAUUGAAAAUGCAAGGGGUUGGAUGACCCAAACGACGAUGCCACAGGUCUGCAGUCGCGGAGAUGCAAGGAGACCAAAAAGCUUGAGGAACUGACGUGGCAGAAGACUCAGAGAGGACAUAAAGACCAUCAUGACUUUGACCGGAAAGGAGAACUUCCUUGGUGACGAGAUCCUUCACAUAAAACAUAGAAGUCUGAAAUUCAAAAUAAACAUGAUUAUCACAACAUAAUUUUUGAAUAGAUAACAACGGUUUGGUAAUGUGAGACACAUAGAGAACAUUAGAUAAUGUAAACAUGUGUUUUGGGGAAUGUAAUUUAGUAUGUCCAAUAUGGGAUAUGUCAAGGCCCUUACCAUCACCAACAUGCAAAUAAUCAUUAGCAAUAUAGGGUGCAGAAUCGGUCAGAGUUCCAAGAUCAAGUGUGACGUGUUGAUUUGCGCCGGUGUUGGGGAACCAAGUCGCAGCAGAAAUAUUCCCAACAGCAAGAUAAGAAGAGGGCUGCUGAGAGUUGUUAUGAAAUUGGGAACAAUGGGGAGUUGUGUGCCCAAAACGGAGCAUAAUUGGCAGUCUACAUGCUACUGUCUAGACCACUGCCCAGUCCCGGAAUUGUGCCUGUUCUGCGGCCAGUGGUUUGGCCGCUAAUCUACAGCAGAUUGGCCCCUGUUGCGGCUGAAGUUGGGGUUGUGAUGAGACAUAGUAUGGUGUGCAUAAAAUUAUGGUGUUGGCAGCAGAGGUGGCUUUGCGGCAGAGAAGAAGAAGACAACAGAGAGGGAGCGACAGCCAUGGAAUUGAAAGAGUUUUUGUGUAGAAAUUAAUGGGUAAGAAGGUGGCUGUGAAGAUCAGCAUAGGAUAGCAGUUCUGCCUUGGUUAUGAGACUCUUUACCAAGUCUUUAAAGUCGUCAGGAAGGCCACGAAACACAUAAAGAUUGAAAUCUUCAAGAGACAUGGGGCGACCAGCAUCAGCCAAUUCAUCAAAUAACGAUUUGGCUUGCUGCAUGUAUAGACUAACCAAUGAGUCACCUUGCCAAAGGUCUUGAAAGGAGCCAUGGAGUUGCAUGAUGCGAGAAUUAGACGGAGAGGCAAGCGCUUUCUCAAGAGUGCGCCAAACACAAUGUGAAGUGGAACAAUCUACCACGAGAUGCAACACAUCCACGAAGAGAUGAGAGCAAAGCACUCAAAAUAAGUUGAUCCUGUUGCUUCCAACGAAGAAAAGAAGGACUGAUGGUAGAGGAAGAACUAGCAAAGUUGUCAAAAAUAUGAGAUGGAGGACACGACACUGAGCCGUCAACGAAGUGCAAAACACCUUGACCAAGGAGAUUUGGCUUCAUUUGCAUUCUCCAAUAGAGAUAAUUUGUGUUCAUAAGUUUCAACGAAACAAUUUGGUGAGUGUUCGCUAAACGAACAAUAGCUGUAGUGUGGGUUCCCAUGAGAGAUAAAGGAACGACAGGGACUUGGGAGGAAGAAUCAGAGACAAGCUUUGCAAGUGGAGGCUACUAUGGGGGAGAAAAGGCACCAGUGGCAGCAACUUGGGGAUGGUUGGCCGGUUGUGCUGCACCACCGGUGGGGAGGGAGAAGUCGGAGGCAGUAGUAGAAUCCAUAUAGAGAAAGUAAAGAGAGGGCUGGCUGCAAAGGGAGGAAGGGAGAAAAGAGUUCUGAUGGUAGAAGGCUCUGAUACUAAGUUAAGAAUAAUUGGGAGGCUUGACCUAAUGGUUAGCCAACCGUUUUUAUAUAUAUGUGUAGGGCAAUAUACAAUAGCAAUGGUGGAGGUUACCACACAAGAGUAUGUAGACAAUAUUUCCUAUACAAUAUUUCCUAUAUAAGUACAUUCUAUAAUAGUCCUAAAUCCAAAAUUUUGUUUCUACAAAAUUCAACUUGUCUGUGCUUGGAUACUUUGCUUAAAAGAUGAACAGAAUAUUUAUGUGCUGGAAUUUAUGUUGUUCUUUCGGGAAACAGGUUAGAGUGAAAUAAAAAAUUUCAAGUUGACAAAAUCUAACGUUUACUAAAGAAUUAUUAUCCAGUGACAACUAAUGAAGCCUAGAGGAACAGCUAAUAAGGCCAAAACCAGCAGAGGGAAAAGAAUGGAAAGAGACAAAACAUAAAGCUUACUUAGAGAAGAGAGAAUCAAAGAUUGAAAAGGAAGAAUCUAGCAAAAAAUAGAAGAUUUGAAGAAGAAUUUUUCAUUUUGACAAUAUAUCAAACAAAUAAUAGACAAAUAAAUUAUUAUGAAAGAAUUGUUUGGAUAAGGAGAUAAUAAUGCCAAAAACAAAGAUUAGCAAGCAGAAGAUCACAUGAUCACAAGAUAUUAAAAAUCCUAAGCUCUGAUACCAUGUUAGGAAAGUAAGAUCUACAUAGAAAAGGAAUAGAGAUGAAGAAAAGCAAAGAAUAGAGAUGAAGAAAAAUAAAGAGUGAUUCUGUUAAACAGAGAAGAAGAACUUUAGCACUGAUUUUUUUAUUAAUUGAUUUCAGUUCUCUUAUCUGACAUAUGUUUAUAUAUGCUAUAGUAAAAAGGUUAUACACAUUAUAUAUUCUCUCUUUAUUUGCACUGAAACAAUGCUAACUAAUUCUCUUAGCUGACAAACAAUACUAACAACAUUCUAACAAUAUCAUUCUCUAAUGUUUUGAUAUUUGGCAGGACUAGAGCCUUUGAUAUCUUUACAUUUUCACCACAACACACAAGUUGUAAAAAAUUAUUUUGCCUUUCAAGAUAGGUGAAUCCUGACAGUGUACCUACAUGAACUUUUUCCAUAAGAAUUUAUUUGGGCACACGAGGCCAUAAUAAAUUCAAAACACAAGACUUAUUUAUACGAAUAAAUCUUCAUCCCAAGACAUAAACAAUCAUUUAUCCUUAAAAUCUUUGAUAAAACUAGUACAUUCAAGUUUUUUAACAACUGUGAACCAAACAACGAGAUCAUAACUCACUUGACCAUCCAACAUCAAACGUAAACGAGCGACAUCACUAACAAUUAUCCAAAAUACAUGGCACAUAUUGGUUCCACAUCAAACACAUUAUACUAGAAUAUGAGGGGUUGAAUCUGGUCCUAGUUUUAUAUAAAAAGAGAAAUUAAACAGUACUCCCAUUUAAAAAUAAAUAAAUAAAACAAACCAAUGAAUAAGUAAUGGAAAAGGAUGACAACUCACUUAUAGAAAGUUAACUGACCCAGUAGGCUAAAGGUUUUAGAAUUAUAGGGUUUAAGAAAAAAUAAAUGUUCAAAUUAAUGGUCCCCUACAAAGAAACAAUGAGCUCAUUGCUGAGCAAAAUUAGGUCAUGUAUUAUCUAAAUUCAUAAUUAAUUAAUUAAAUGCGCUCUUGCAUCGAAAGUUCUCAUUCUUAUUCGUGUUAGUUUGAUUUCUUUUUCAAUUUAUUAAAUAUGCAAGUUGAAGUACAAUAAGCGAGACGGUGUGGCAGUGUGUUAAAUAAAAGAAGAACGCAGUUCUCUUAGAAACGAAAAAACCACCUGACAUGAAGUUGAUUGGAUUAACAAGGAUACAUAAUUUAAUCCAAAAACCUGGUCCUAAAUCCAAAAUUCAGCUUGUCUGUGCUUGGAUACUUUGAUUAAAAGAUGAACAGAAUAUUUGUGUGCUGGAAUUUACGCUGUUCUUCCGGGAAACAGGUUAGAGUGAAAUAAAAAAUUGCAAGUUGACAAAAUCUUACGUCUACUAAAGAAUUAUUAUCCAGUGACACCAACGUUCAAUCUAUAUUUCUUUUUGAUGGAUAGAAUCAAUCGAAGGACAGCUAAUGAAGCCUAGAGGAACAGCUAAUGAGGCCAAAAGUAACCAGCAGAGGGAAAAGAAUGGGAAGAGACAAAACCUAAAGCUUACUGAAGGCAGCAACUCUCUGGGUGUAUAUAUGUAUUCAUCGUGCACCAAAUGAUCUCUCACAACAAAUUAGCUGCGAGACUCUUUCCCUCCAUCGACAGAGUGCACAAUCAGAUCCGAAGGAGAUGAUCACAGAGCCACUCUUGAGCAGCCCGAAGGGAGGCAUAAGAGCCUUGUUUUUCAUCAUAGGUAUUUAAAUUAUGUAUAUAUUAUGACCAACAGGUUACUUGGCAGCUUAUAUAUAUAUAUAUAUAUAUUGACAGCAAACGAGGCACUGGAGAGGCUAGCAAGUUUUGGGCUAUCAACAAAUAUGAUACUGUAUUUGACUAGAGAGUAUGGUAUAGAUGCAGCUAGCGGUGCCCAAAUACUCUUCCUCUACUCAGCUGCUGGGAAUUUCAUGCCCAUUAUUGGGGCUUUUCUUGCUGAUACAUAUGUGGGUCGAUACCCGAUGAUCGGCUUUGGAUGUAUUGCGAGCCUUCUGGUAACAUUAUUUCUUUCCAGCUUUAAAUUUACUAAACGUGUUAAUUUGUUUAAUUAAAUUUAAAAUUUAUAACAUUUUAUAGUAUUAACCUCUACAAAUUUUAAAUUUAAAGGAUUUUCAAUUAAAAUAUGUUAUAAUACAUAUUAUUUUAUAUCGAACUCAUUAAUAACUUCAGAUAUAUUAGCAGAUGCAGUAACGACGCGACGACACCACAGCUUUUGUUUCUAUAUUUUUGCUUAGGCCUCAUGUCUAUCGGAGCUGGUGGCAUAAGAUCAUGCUCCCUGGCCUUUGGUGCUGAUCAAUUGAGCAAGAGGGACAGCCUUAAACAUGCUGGAAUAUUAGAAAGCUUCUUCAGUUGGUACUAUGUUACAUCCUCAGCUUCUGUAUUUAUUUCCAUGACUUGUAUAGUUUACAUUCAAGAUGCCAUGGGCUGGAAGGUGGGUUUCGGAGUUCCUGUGGUUCUCAUGAUCCUGUCAACUCUUUCCUUCUUCUUGGCUUCUCCCAUUUAUGUCAAGCCAAAGGCUAAGGCAAGCUGGCUCAUCGGAUUUGCUCGAGUUCUCGUGGCCUCCUUCAGAAAGAGAAGGAUUGAAUUAUCUUCACUAGACACGGAUGAGCUGUAUCAUCAGAGGAAGGGAUCUGCACUUGUCGUGCCAAGUGAAAGAAUAAGGUAAUUAACCUACCUGUGAAGCACUUAAUAAGGUAAUUUUAUAUAUGAUAGUUCCUAUAAGGAUUUCCUUUUGUCUUAUCUUGUCCUAGGUUUCUAAACAAAGCUUGUGUUAUUAAGAAUCCUGAAGAAGACUUGAUGCCAGAUGGAAGAGCUUCAGAUCCAUGGUGUCUUUGUACAGUAGAUCAAGUAGAAGAGCUAAAAGCACUAAUAAAGGUAAUCCCAAUAUGGUCGACAGGGAUGUUGGUGUCUGUAAAUGUCUGUCAAAACUCUUUCUUAUUACUCCAGGCAUCCACUAUGAACCGACAUAUCACUUCGAAAUUUGAAAUUCCUGCUGGAUCAUUCUAUGCAUUUAUGUUGCUCUCUCUAACAAUGUGGAUUGCUCUAUACGAUCGCGUAAUCAUCCCUCUAGCAUCAAAACUCACGGGAAAACCAACACGUCUCGGCUUGAAACAGAAAAUAGGAAUUGGGAUUCUGGGCUCGGCUGCUUCCAUGGCAGUACUGGCAAUUAUAGAGAGGGUGCGACGAGAAACUGCAAUCAGGGAAGGAAUUUCAGAUAUUCCUGACGCGGUUACGCACAUGUCUGCAAUGUGGUCAUUGCCAUUUUACUUCUUACUUGGAUUUUCUGAGGCUAUGAAUGGUGUUGGACUGAAUGAGUUCUUCUACACUGAAUUGCCUAAAAGCAUGUCUAGCGUGGCCUCGAAUCUUUAUAGUGUUGGACUGUCUGCUGCAAGCUUGGUGGCCAGUUUUAUAGUAGGUAAUGUUCGUGGGUUUAUUAGUGAAGCAAAUCAAGAGAGUUGGGUUUCAAGCAACAUCAACAAAGGACAUUAUGAUUAUUAUUACUGGCUGCUUUCUAGUUUGGGUGUUGCUAACUUCAUUUAUUAUCUUGCUUGUAGCAAGGCUUAUGGUCCUUGUAAGGGGGGACAAAAGGGCAUUACUGGAGAUCUUAGAGAAGGAUUGAUUGAUGAUGAUGAUGAUGAUGAUGUAGUUUAAGUUAACGUUCAGGAUCUUUGUAUGUUCGU